RNAcentral lists this ribosomal RNA (486 nucleotides) under uncultured bacterium. RNAcentral describes it as "partial 16S ribosomal RNA". It matches the Rfam family "Bacterial small subunit ribosomal RNA", at positions 30 to 507 of the family's 1533-position model. The record is from RNAcentral.
AUUGAACGCUGGCGGCAUGCCUUACACAUGCAAGUCGAACGGCAGCACGGGUGCUUGCACCUGGUGGCGAGUGGCGAACGGGUGAGUAAUACAUCGGAACAUGUCCUGUAGUGGGGGAUAGCCCGGCGAAAGCCGGAUUAAUACCGCAUACGAUCCACGGAUGAAAGCGGGGGACCUUCGGGCCUCGCGCUAUAGGGUUGGCCGAUGGCUGAUUAGCUAGUUGGUGGGGUAAAGGCCUACCAAGGCGACGAUCAGUAGCUGGUCUGAGAGGACGACCAGCCACACUGGGACUGAGACACGGCCCAGACUCCUACGGGAGGCAGCAGUGGGGAAUUUUGGACAAUGGGCGAAAGCCUGAUCCAGCAAUGCCGCGUGUGUGAAGAAGGCCUUCGGGUUGUAAAGCACCUUUGUCCGGAAAGAAAUCCUUGACUCUAAUACAGUCGGGGGAUGACGGUACCGGAAGAAUAAGCACCGGCUAACUACGUG